UACGUAGGUGGCGAGCGUUAUCCGGAUUUAUUGGGCGUAAAGCGUCCGCAGCCGGCUUGAUUAGUCUAGAAUUAAAGUCUGGAGCUUAACUCCAGUUCGUUUUAGAAACUGUCAGGCUCGAGUGUGGUAGAGGCAAAUGGAAUUUCUAGUGUAGCGGUAGAAUGCGUAGAUAUUAGAAGGAACACCAGUGGCGAAGGCGAUUUGCUGGGCCAUCACUGACGGUCAGGGACGAAAGCGUGGGGAGCAAAUA
RNAcentral lists this ribosomal RNA (250 nucleotides) under uncultured prokaryote. RNAcentral describes it as "partial 16S ribosomal RNA". It matches the Rfam family "Bacterial small subunit ribosomal RNA", at positions 524 to 774 of the family's 1533-position model. The record is from RNAcentral.